RNAcentral lists this small RNA (437 nucleotides) under Drosophila ananassae. Its description in RNAcentral is "GF27765". The record is from RNAcentral. Lineage: Eukaryota; Metazoa; Arthropoda; Insecta; Diptera; Drosophilidae.
CAUCACUAGAGGUCACAAUUGGGCAACACUUUUUGUUUACUUUCGCCAAAGUUUAAACUUUUCGGUGAUUUCUGAGCGGUGAAGUGCAUGUACAGCAUCGGCGUGAAUUGUGCUAGGAUCGGGAAAGGAUAUUGGAACUGGCGAGGAGGUGAAGGAGCAGCAAGGAUACAACUACUACUACAACUACUCUUUGGCAACGAAUCCUGAUACUAAGACUAUGUAGUACAGUGGAACAUCUAUCAUCUAACAUCAACGAACAACAACAACACCGAGGUGCCCUUAGACAAUCUCUAUUUCUACAAGAAAAAAAAAAAACCAAAACAAAAACUAAUUAAAUGAAAUUGAUAACUGCCGAUUUUUGAACUGACAAUAAAAAUAAACAACAAAACAAACGCAACAACAAGGAUAACAAAUAAACCAAGGAACCAACUAAAAAA